AUGAACCAGAGCAUCCCUUGGCUGUGGCAGCAGCAGCAGCAGCAGCAGCAGCAGACUUUUAUAUCCGCACCACAGAGCACUAGCAAGAGGCAGGUUAACCACCAGAACUGCCCGUGGGCUAAACAUGGCAGGGUACAGUGUGACAUUUCAAUGUGUAAUGAUGAAAUCUGGACAAUCAGCAUUUUGAUUAUCUCAGACACACUUUCUUUGUGUUGGGGACAUUCAAAAAUCCUCUUUGCGAUCGUGAUCGGGGACUCCACCGUGGGCAAGUCGUGCCUCUUGCACCGCUUCACCCAGGGCCGCUUCCCCGGGUUGCGCUCCCCUGCCUGCGACCCCACGGUCGGCGUGGACUUCUUCUCCCGCCUGCUGGAGAUCGAGCCGGGCAAAAGGAUAAAGCUGCAGCUCUGGGACACGGCGGGACAGGAGCGGUUCAGAUCAAUAACUCGAUCCUAUUACCGCAACUCAGUUGGUGGAUUUUUAGUAUUUGACAUUACUAACCGACGAUCUUUUGAACAUGUAAAAGAUUGGCUAGAAGAAGCAAAAAUGCACGUACAGCCAUUUCAGRUUGUAUUUCUACUGGUGGGACAUAAGUGUGAUUUAGCUUCACAACGUCAAGUGACAAGGGAAGAAGCYGAAAAACUGUCRGCAGACUGUGGAAUGAAGUAUAUAGAAACCUCAGCAAAAGAUGCUACAAAUGUAGAGGAAUCCUUCACAAUCUUGACAAGAGACAUAUAUGAACUUAUUAAAAAGGGAGAAAUUUGUAUUCAGGAUGGCUGGGAAGGAGUUAAAAGUGGUUUUGUUCCAAAUACUGUGCAUUCUUCCGAGGAAGCAGUAAAGCCCAGGAAGGAGUGCUUUUGCUGACUUCAAACAUGCCAAAGAACMAGAACAAAUUGGAUGUCGCUUCAGGAUAAAUAUCAACAUUAAUGGCAGAAGGAUGCAAUGAUAGCAUUUUAAAAAGUUAGGCCUAUACUAACACUAUUUUGUAAGCUAUUUGAUUCAGAGCACUAUGCUUGUUACACUACAAGAUUGGGUAUUUUGCUAAAUUA
This is a non-coding RNA of Urocitellus parryii (Arctic ground squirrel), 1046 nucleotides long. The record is from RefSeq and is a predicted model, not a curated record. NCBI's taxonomy places the organism in Eukaryota, Metazoa, Chordata, Mammalia, Rodentia, Sciuridae.